AGCGAACGCUGGCGGCAGGCUUAACACAUGCAAGUCGAACGGGCGUAGCAAUACGUCAGUGGCAGACGGGUGAGUAACGCGUGGGAACGUACCUUUUGGUUCGGAACAACCCAGGGAAACUUGGGCUAAUACCGGAUAAGCCCUUACGGGGAAAGAUUUAUCGCCGAAAGAUCGGCCCGCGUCUGAUUAGCUAGUUGGUGUGGUAACGGCGCACCAAGGCGACGAUCAGUAGCUGGUCUGAGAGGAUGAUCAGCCACAUUGGGACUGAGACACGGCCCAAACUCCUACGGGAGGCAGCAGUGGGGAAUAUUGGACAAUGGGCGCAGACCUGAUCCAGCCACGCUGCGUGAGUGAUGAAGGCCCUA
Molecule: ribosomal RNA, 365 nt
Filed under: uncultured bacterium
Lineage: Bacteria
Description: bacterial SSU rRNA
Rfam family: Bacterial small subunit ribosomal RNA
Source: RNAcentral